Molecule: long non-coding RNA, 616 nt
Filed under: Nicotiana benthamiana
Lineage: Eukaryota; Viridiplantae; Streptophyta; Magnoliopsida; Solanales; Solanaceae
Description: long non-coding RNA (NBEN_LNC030293)
Source: RNAcentral
GCUCUUUUUCUUUUUUCAUCUUUCUUUCUUUAUUUAUAAGGUAAGCACCAUUGGGUACUGUAACUGUUAGAAUAUGUAAUAGUAGAAACCUAAUCCAAUGUGUAUUAGGAGUAGCCUAACCCAAUGUUUAUUAGGAGUAGGAUAGGUUAUGUGUGUAUAUAUAGGGCUCAUUAUCAUGUUUAAUAUCAAUUAUAUUUUUCUCUCGUGCUUUCUCACAGUAACCUCCAGAUAUUAUGAUACUCGUUCAUGACAAGUUUACAUGUCUUAGUGGUGCACAUACUCCCACUUAUUGGAAUAAAGGAAUAAGAGAAUCUUCCAGAUUAAUGAGAUAGAUGCUAGAAGUAUGAAAAGAUUUUUUUUGUUUCAUCUAUAUAUUUUGGUGCAAUAGUUGGUCUUGGUAGAUUGGAGUAGUUGAAUCAUGCCUUUUGAGUUAGGCCCAAGGUCCAUUCUUAUCAUGGUAUCAGAGCCAGGCCCAUCCCAAUUAUUGAGUCCUUGGUCUCCUUAUAUGGCUUGGGCAAUCCUCACCUCAUAAGCUAGUUUUUGGGAUUGAGUUAUGCCCAAGGUCCAUUCUUAUCAUGGUAUCAGAACCAGGCCCAUCCCAAUUAUUGUUACCGAU